This is a long non-coding RNA of Cyprinus carpio (common carp), 5864 nucleotides long. NCBI's taxonomy places the organism in Eukaryota, Metazoa, Chordata, Actinopteri, Cypriniformes, Cyprinidae. The record is from Ensembl.
AUGACUACAGCUUCAUCAACCACACCUACACCAACAAACAUUCCAACAGCAUCAACAGUUGUACCUUCAGUAUCCACUACUUUCACUUCAACAACAGUGCCUACAUCUUCAGAAACAAGUGCAACUGUAACAACUUCAGCAACUAAAGCAUCCUCAACUGCUGAAAUUCCCACCACCACAGUUAUGAGUACAGAAACCACACCUAUUCCUUCAACAGUGUUGCCCACAACUUCGAAGAGUACAACAGCUGAAACCAUGACUACAGCUUCAUCAGCGAUAUCUACGACAACAAAUAAUCCAACAUCAAAAGCUGUAACUUCAGCAUCCACAGCUCUCACUUCAACAACAUUGCCUACAUCUUCAGAAACAACUGCACCUGUAACAACUUCAGUAACUAAAGCAUCCUCAACUAUCAAAAUUUCCACAACCACAGCUGUGAGUACAGAAACCACACCUAUUACUUCAACAGUGUUGCCCACAACUUUGAAGAGUACAACAGCUGAAACCAUGACUACAGCUUCAUCAACCACACCUACAAAAACGAACAAUCCAACAACAUCAACAUUUGUAACUUCUGAAUCUACAACUCCUACUUCAACAGUUAUAGCUACAUCUUCAGAAACAACUACACCUCUAACAAAAUCAGUAACUACAGCAUCCUCAACUACUGAAAUUCCCACAACCACAGUUGUGAGUACUGAAUCCAUAACUCUUACUUCAACAGCUAAGCCUACAUCUUCAGAAUCUACUGCAACUGUAACAUCAGUAACUACAGUAUCCUCAAAAACCUAUAUUCCCACAACCACGGUUGUGAGAACAGAAACCACACCUAUCAUUUCGACAGUGGUGCCUACAACUUCAGAGAGUACAACGGCAGAAGCUAUGACUACGGCUUCAUCAACUAUAUUUACAGCAAAGAACACUCCAACAACAUCAACAGCUGUAACUUCAGAAUCCUCAACUCUCACUUCAACAACAGUGCCUACAUCUUCAGAAACAACUGCACCUGUAACAACAUCAGUAACUACAGCUUCCUCACCUACAACUGUACCUUCCUCUAUGACAUCAGCUCCAAUGUCAUCUGAAGCUCCAAGUACAACAACAUCUAAAACCACAUUGCUGCUUGCAACCACAUCUACUGGAGCUCUCACAUCCACUGUUGUGACUUCAGGAGCAACAACUCUUACGUCUACAACAAUGCCUACAACAUCAGAAAGUACAACUACACCUGCAGCAAGCACAACUGCAGCUUCCACAGCCACAGUGGGGCCAUCCACUACUGUGACUACAGCUUCCGAAAUUACAACUGCAUCUUCAACAUCUACAGCUUCCUCAGCUGCGAUAGUGCAUUCUACUACUACAUCAUCAUCUCCAACCUCAUCUGAAUCUCGAGGUACAGCAACUAAUUAUCCAACAACAUCAACAGCUGUAAUUUCAACAACAAUGGCUACAUCUUCAGAAACAUCUGCACCUGUAACAACAUCAGUAACUACAGCUUCCUCAUCUAUAAAUGUACCUUCCUCUAUGACAUCAGCUCCAAUGUCAUCUGAAGCUCCAAGUGCAACAACAGCUCAAACCACAAUGCCACUUGCACCUGCAACUACUGAAACACUCACAAUCACCAAAAUGACUUCAGAAACCACAACUGCACCAACAACAUCGAUAACUACAACGUCCACAACUACCACUGUAGCUUCAACGACAACAGCAGCUUCUCUUGCAACAACCACAACUACAGCUUCCAUCACCACAACCAUUCCUUCCACUUCUACAUCAGAUCAAACCACACCUAAGGCUGCAAGUACAACAUCAAAAGGUCCGAACACAAAUUCAGAAAGUAUAACUUCACCUGCUGUAACCACAGAUUCCACAACCAUGAUGGAAUAUUCAACUACUACAUCAAGUUUAACCCCAGCCACAACUACUGAAACCUCAACUCUUACUUCACCAACAAUGUCUACAACUUCAGAAAGUACUCCUGCACCUGCAACAUCCACCAUUACAGCUUCCUCUUCUACGAAUAACUAUCCCACAACAGAAAAUCCAUCUCAAACCUCAACUUCAAUUCCAGGCACAAACACACCUACAGCGGCAACAACAACUGCAUUCCGAAUAACAACUGCACCUCUAUCAACCACAACUAUUGCUUUCACUAAUACAGCUCCAGCUCUAAGCCAAGCAGGACUCCUUACCACAACAAAUGCACCUCCAAUUAUCACAACUGUGUCUCCGGAGACUGUAACUAUUGCUGUAACAAUUAUGCCUAUCUCAUCAUCACAUGUAACUAUAUCCCCAACUUUAACUCCAAUAAAAACAACUGAACCUCCAAGAACCCCAACUACACCCAUUACAACCAUGACUGUUCUUCCCACCACUACAGUUCCAGCUGAUAUCUCAACUACAGCUCCAACCACAACAACAGCCACUAUUCCAAGUUCAACUGCAGCUCAAACAACAACUGCAUUUCAAGUAACAACAGGAGAUCUUUUAAGAACAACUGUAGCUUUUACCAACACAUCUUCUGCUCCAGCCACACUUGCACUUUCAACCAAAACAACUCCAAUCCCAAACAUGGAUUCAGAAACUACAACUGCAUCAACAACUACAACUGGAAUUAAUACAGGUCUCACCAGUGCAGCAGAAUUUCCAAUAGCUCCAAUAACAUCAGUUUCAAACACAAAUGCAUCAACAUCCCCAGCAUCUACAAUUCCAAGUCAAUCAUCAAUCAAAACAACACCAGCUGAAACUCUUUCUAGCAAUACUACACCUCUAAACAAUGCAACAAAAGCAGAUGCAUCUGCAACACUUCAAAGUACUUCAAGUUUGCAACCAGAAACUUCAAACAUACCCAAAACAUUGUCAACAAAUGUGACUGGUGCAGCAACAGUCACAACCAUAUUGGUAUUCUCAUCCUUGUCGUCAGUGCCCAAUGAAAAUUUGGUCCUAGGUGCUAUCAGUACUCUUCUGGAAUCUAGACAGUCCCAACUCAAUGGAUCACUGAAGAUUGUAAAAUUUACUUAUCAGAAAAUCUCAGAAACCUCCUAUGUCGUCAUCUUUGACUUUAGUCUGAGUAAUAUCAGCAUGCCAGAGGAACCUGAUCUAAGAAACAACAGUUAUGUUCAAGUACAAGAUGUCAUCAAUAAUGCGCUGAACACUCUUCUGAAUGAACCUGGCAGUCUAACUUUACAACCCAAGACCUCCAACUUCACGAGCAAUUCAAGUCUGAUUGAUGGCAGGAUGGAAUACAACUUCCAGGAUGGAGAUGUCAUACAACCAGUCAGCUUCCUAAAUAUGCUACAUUUACAGACCACUACAACAUUGUUUCCGGAAACAACAUUUUUUUUCUCUGUAACUCCUUCCAAACUCAUAUCUGGUUCAGCAGUGGUCACAAGCAAGCUGGUGUUCAACACCUCAUCUCCAGUUCCCAGUGAAUCUCUGGUCCUCAGUGCAAUCAAAACUCUGCGUAAUUCCAGAGAGUCACAGCUCAAUGAAUCGGUGAAGGUGGUGAAUGUCACCUAUGAGAAAAUCUCAGAAACCUCCUAUGCUGUGGUCUUUACAUUUAACGUGAUUAACAUCACCAUGCCAGAGGAACCUAAGUCUAGAGGCAACACCAACCAGAAAGUGCAGGAUACCAUCAAUAAUGCGCUGAAUACUCUUCUGAAUGAACCUGGAAGUCCAACUUUACAACCAAAGUCCUCCAACUUCACAAGCACUUCAAACCAGAUUGAUGGCAGGAUGGAAUACAGCUUCCAGGAUGGAGAUGUCAUACAACCAGUCAGCUUCCUCAAUGAGCUACGUCUACCAACCACUACAACAGUGUUUCCAGAAACAACAACCAGUGUUUCUGUUACUACUUCAAACCUCAUAUCUGGUUCAGCAGUGGUCACAAGCAAGCUGGUUUUCAACUCCUCAUCUCCAGUCCCCAGUGAAUCUCUGGUCCUCAAUGCAAUCAAAACUCUGCGUAAUUCCAGAGAGUCACAGCUCAAUGAAUCGGUGAAGGUGGUGAAUGUCACCUAUGAGAAAAUGUCAGAAACCUCCUAUGCUGUGGUCUUUACAUUUAACGUAAUUAACAUCAGCAUGCCAAAGGAACCUGUGUCUAGAGGCAACACCAACCAGAAAGUGCAGGAUACCAUCAAUAAAGCGCUGAAUACUCUUCUGAAUGAACCUGGAAGUCCAACUUUUCAACCAAAGUCAUCAAACUUCACAAGCACUUCAAACCAGAUUGAUGGCAGAAUGGAAUACACCUUCCAGGAUGGAGAUGUCAUACAACCAGUCAGCUUCCUCAAUGAGCUUCGUUCACAGACAGUCUUAACGACAGCCAGCACUCUGACAACUACUCCACUGAUAGUGCGUGGCAAAGCGCUUAUAUUCAUUCGCCUCGUGUUUGUCACACUGGGCCCCCUGCCAAAUCCAGAGAAGGUUCUUGAGGUGGCCAACACUCUGCUUCAGACGCGUCUCAAAACUAAACAAGACACCAGUACUCAAGACCUGAGUGAUCCUGUGAGCUUUGUCAAUGUCACAUAUACAAAAAUAAAUGAGACGGCCUAUGCUCUCAACUUUGGAUUUGAAAUCAGCAAUAUAACCAUGACAGAGAAGCUUGAACUCAGGAAUGGCACCCACCUGUUAAUACAAGACUCUAUAAACUCAUUGCUGGGCAAGAUCCUUCUCAGUAACUCAUCAGCGCCUAUCAUUAAGUUCCAACCAGCUGAUUUCACGGGUAAUUCCACAGUAAUUAAGGCCAAUGUAGAGUAUGUUUUCUCACCAAGUGACAUCACGCAACCCAGCAUCUUUGUUCAGGAACUUCUCCAACUUAAUGAAGCGAGCACUCUGACAAGCACAACUUCACCACCGAUCUUGACUAGGAGGGCAAUUAUUAAGAUUCGUCUGGAGUUUAUCACACUGGGCCCAAGACCAAGUGAGAGUAAUGUUCUACAGGUGGUUAAAUCUAUGCUGGCCACAAAUCUCACAACUAAACUAACCACGAGAGUAACAAGCGUGAGCGAACCUGUGACCUUGAAUAAUGUUGUGUAUAUCGGAAUUAAUGACACCGCCUACGCACUGAUUUUUGCAUUCGAAAUGAACAAAGUAUUACUGACAGAGAUACAAAGGCAAGAAGCCUACAAAGAAAUCCAAAACAAGAUAAAUGAUUUGGUGAAGCAGAUACUAAAGGACCCCUCGGUUAAUCUGCUCAUUCCAGCCGAUUUCAAGGAUGAUCUCCUUGUGAUCGAGGCCAAUGUUACGUAUGUUUUCUCAGAACGUAACAGUAACACGGGCUCCGGUUUCUUGGUCAGUGCCCUUUUCAAGGCUUUUACCACACCAGCUCCAACCACCAUGAACACUACAAUCUCAAACAACAGUACUAAUGCAGCAUGGAUUGUGGCUAUCAUUGUCCCCUGUGCUAUUGUCAUCGGGCUCGUACCUUGCUGGAUUCUCCUUUGCUGUUUGCUGUGUGGUUGCUGUGCAGCAAUCAGAAGACGCUGGCACAGAAGACAGUCGUACAAUGUGCAGUACACCACUCGAAACAGUCUCUUCUAAAGAGUUCUGAGAUAUUUGACAAAAGCAGGACUGAAAACCAAUGAGAACAUAAAAAUCAUGGAUUUUGGAUAUUCAAUAUGCUAUCAAUACUGCUUCUUUUGUAGUAUUGAAAGUACUAUGUUAAUGCUUCUUUAUAAACUAUUUAUUUUAUUAUCCUAGACAAACAGGUCCUCCAUAAAAUAUUCCUUAAUGUGACAUUUUAAUACGUCCUAUAGUCUAUAAUGAAAUUGUAUUAUUGUUAUUUAUUUGUAUUUAUUUGUAAUAUUCUGUUUAUGUUUACAGUUAAUCUUUUGCAAAUCAUUAAUCUGCUUGACAUUACACAUUUUAAU